This 259-nucleotide ribosomal RNA is filed under the name uncultured bacterium. Its description in RNAcentral is "partial 16S ribosomal RNA". It matches the Rfam family "Bacterial small subunit ribosomal RNA", at positions 524 to 776 of the family's 1533-position model. The record is from RNAcentral.
UACGAAGGGGGGCUAGCGUUGUUCGGAAUCACUGGGCGUAAAGCGCACGUAGGCGGAUCUUUUAAGUCAGGGGGUGAAAUCCCGAGGCUCAACCUCGGAAACUGCCCUUUUGAUACUGGGGAUCUCGAGUCCGGAAGAGGGUGAGUGGAAACUGCGAGUGUAGAGGUGAAAUUCGUAGAUAUUCGCAAGAACACCAGUGGCGAAGGCGGCUCACUGGUCCGGUACUGACGCUGAGGUGCGAAAGCGUGGGAGCAACAGG